Molecule: ribosomal RNA, 480 nt
Filed under: uncultured bacterium
Lineage: Bacteria
Description: bacterial SSU rRNA
Rfam family: Bacterial small subunit ribosomal RNA
Source: RNAcentral
UGCGAACUCCUACGGGAGGCAGCAGUGGGGAAUAUUGCGCAAUGGGGGGAACCCUGACGCAGCCAUGCCGCGUGAAUGAAGAAGGCCUUCGGGUUGUAAAGUUCUUUCGGUGACGAGGAAGGUUGUUGUGUUAAUAGCGCAACAAAUUGACGUUAAUCACAGAAGAAGCACCGGCUAACUCCGUGCCAGCAGCCGCGGUAAUACGGAGGGUGCGAGCGUUAAUCGGAAUAACUGGGCGUAAAGGGCACGCAGGCGGACUUUUAAGUGAGGUGUGAAAUCCCCGGGCUUAACCUGGGAAUUGCAUUUCAGACUGGGGGUCUAGAGUACUUUAGGGAGGGGUAGAAUUCCACGUGUAGCGGUGAAAUGCGUAGAGAUGUGGAGGAAUACCGAAGGCGAAGGCAGCCCCUUGGGAAUGUACUGACGCUCAUGUGCGAAAGCGUGGGGAGCAAACAGGAUUAGAUACCCUUGUAGUCCAGAGAA